CCCCUCGGAGCCGUGCGAGGGACGUUUAUUUUACGUCUUCCGACCUGAAUACCGCUACCACCCGUUUAAUCGUAGCCCGUUCAAAGGCUUGGAGUGGGCCUAGACUAUUUUUAAUAUACCUCUGAUUGGAUUCGUCUGACAGAAGAAAGUCACAUACGCCUAGGAUGCUUCAAAGGAGGGCUCGCUGACAGCCGCGCACCUCGUCCGCGUGGACGGUCCGCGCACGACAGCGCAUGCGCGAGGUGAAUGUCGAGACAACGCAAGUCAAGUAGAUGGUACCGCGCGAAUGCAGCCGGUAUCAAAAUAAUCUGCAGGCGCGGGGUUGCUGGAGCGGGCCAGAUAUUAUAGCUGGGGAGCCGGUUUUGUCCCGCGGGCCGCCUGUUGCCGAUCACUGCUUUAAACGGUGUGAUAGAGGCUGAUGAGCAGAAGCUGACGGUGGAGUGUCAGGCUCAUUGACUCUCUCGCUGCAGGACUCGGUGCUUUAAUAGCCUCUGAUGGCAUGACACCAGAUUCCAGCCUCUGACCUCCCACAGGCUGCAGCACUCUCCACUGCAUUCAUGCCCAGUGGGAGCCAUGCGUAUCUCACACACACACAGAGCUCAGCAGAGUCAGACACAGCAGACUGCAGGGAUCGGGGACGGCUGUCUGGGGAGUGAAAGGUAAAGGGUGUGGAUCAGUGUGAUCCAGAACUGUUCGCUUUUCUGUGAGGUGCUGUGCCAGCCGUGAGCAUCUUGGCACUCAGCUUUAUGGCUUCGCUAUUAAAUCGCCAUUCAAAUAUAAAUUCAGUUAUUUAAUUCGGCCAUAAAUGUAUCCAAAUAUAAGUAAUAUGGAAUUUAAUGUCACAUUCAAAUUGAUAGAAUUGAGGUUAAAGAUUAACGGACAAAAACUCAUCAGCUGCAAAUGGCCAGAGCUACAUAAUAAAGACAUGGAGAAAAAUUGUGCAAGUCUGCGGGAUAGAACUGGACUUUAAAUACGGGAAUUCAGAAAAGAGUCACGUCUCAUGUGGUCUUAGGUUUUAAUUAGUGAAAUAAUCAAUCAAGCUGACCUCACACUAAACCUCAAAAUUGUAAUUAAACAAAUUUAAUGAAAACUUAAUAAACUAUGAUGAUGUAAUAUUGAAAAAUGAAUUAGACCUCCCCUUUACCUCUAACAAACUCAAACGUUAAGAGACCUUGAACAGGUCCACAAAAUGGCAAGUUCCCAAACCAUUAAAUAAAUUAAAGGAAAGGCUUGUGGUGCAAUCUAGAAAUGGAAUGAGAACAUAAAAGCACCAGAAGA
Molecule: long non-coding RNA, 1278 nt
Organism: Puntigrus tetrazona (Sumatra barb)
Lineage: Eukaryota; Metazoa; Chordata; Actinopteri; Cypriniformes; Cyprinidae
Exons: 4
Source: RefSeq, a predicted model, not a curated record